UACGUAGGUGGCAAGCGUUAUCCGGAUUUACUGGGUGUAAAGGGAGCGUAGACGGCAUGGCAAGUCUGAUGUGAAAGGUGUGGGCUCAACCCGCAAACUGCAUUGGAAACUGUCAGGCUGGAGUGUCGGAGAGGUAAGUGGAAUUCCUAGUGUAGCGGUGAAAUGCGUAGAUAUUAGGAGGAACACCAGCGGCGAAGGCGGCUUACUGGACGAUAUCUGACGUUGAGGCCCGAAAGCGUGGGGAGCAAAC
RNAcentral lists this ribosomal RNA (250 nucleotides) under uncultured prokaryote. RNAcentral's name for it is "partial 16S ribosomal RNA". It matches the Rfam family "Bacterial small subunit ribosomal RNA", at positions 524 to 773 of the family's 1533-position model. The record is from RNAcentral.